UACGUAGGGGGCAAGCGUUGUCCGGAAUCAUUGGGCGUAAAGGGCUCGUAGGCGGUCUGUCGCGUCGAAAGUGAAAACCCAGGGCUUAACCCUGGGCCUGCUUCCGAUACGGGCAGACUAGAGGUAUGCAGGGGAGAACGGAAUUCCUGGUGUAGCGGUGAAAUGCGCAGAUAUCAGGAGGAACACCGGUGGCGAAGGCGGUUCUCUGGGCAUUACCUGACGCUGAGGAGCGAAAGUGUGGGGAGCGAACAGG
Molecule: ribosomal RNA, 253 nt
Filed under: uncultured bacterium
Lineage: Bacteria
Description: partial 16S ribosomal RNA
Rfam family: Bacterial small subunit ribosomal RNA
Source: RNAcentral